Molecule: ribosomal RNA, 495 nt
Filed under: uncultured bacterium
Lineage: Bacteria
Description: bacterial SSU rRNA
Rfam family: Bacterial small subunit ribosomal RNA
Source: RNAcentral
GAGUUUGAUCCUGGCUCAGGAUGAACGCUAGCGGCAGGCCUAAUACAUGCAAGUCGAACGCUCAGUAGCAAUACUGGGAGUGGCGCACGGGUGCGUAACGCGUACACAAUCUACCUCUAAGCGGGGGACACCUCCUGGAAACGGGGAUUAAUACCGCAUAAUAUGCCGAAGUCACAUGACUUUGGUAUUAAAGCAGCAAUGCACUUAGAGAUGAGUGUGCGUCCCAUUAGGUAGUUGGUGAGGUAACGGCUCACCAAGCCUAUGAUGGGUAGCCGGUCUGAGAGGAUGGUCGGCCACACGGGCACUGAGACACGGGCCCGACUCCUACGGGAGGCAGCAGUAAGGAAUAUUGGUCAAUGGUGGAAACACUGAACCAGCCAUGCCGCGUGGAGGAAUAAGGUCCUACGGAUUGUAAACUCCUUUUGACGAGGAAGAAAAUGUUAGAUUUAUCUAAUUUUGACGGUACUCGUAGAAUAAGCACCGGCUAACUCCGUG